ACCUCUGGUUCCACUUCAAGGUUGGAUAAAUCUUUCGCCUUUUACUAAAGAUUUCCAUGGAGUGGAUCACAUGAUGAGUCUAAACUGAAAAAAAAUUAUUAAUGAUUAAUUAUAUCUUCUUCA
This is a small nuclear RNA of Nilaparvata lugens (brown planthopper), 123 nucleotides long. RefSeq annotates it as U5 spliceosomal RNA. The transcript has a single exon. The record is from RefSeq and is a predicted model, not a curated record. NCBI's taxonomy places the organism in Eukaryota, Metazoa, Arthropoda, Insecta, Hemiptera, Delphacidae.